RNAcentral lists this long non-coding RNA (1638 nucleotides) under Ficedula albicollis (Collared flycatcher). Its description in RNAcentral is "lncRNA (ENSFALG00000024724.1)". Lineage: Eukaryota; Metazoa; Chordata; Aves; Passeriformes; Muscicapidae. The record is from RNAcentral.
AGCGGUUCCAGUUUCUUCAUCCAUUGCGUCCAGUGCUUGGGAGAGAUUAGUAUGUUCAGCUGAGAUCGAGUCUGGGUGGCUGCUGUAUCCGAGCUGGGCUUGAGCUUUGGCUUGGGCUGGUUUUUUUUGGCUGCAAAACUGUCUGAUGGCACAACUGCAACAUAAAGGUUAAAUAUGGCACAGGAAAAAAAAAAAAAAAAAAGAAACAGAGCGGGGAGAAGGAAGGAUUAGAGAAAAGAAACUAAUAUAAAUCAGUUGAGGUUCUUUUUAGUGAAGAGGUCUUUGAUCUCUGCUGGGUCUUACAGAUCUUUCUUUUAAAGAGAGAGAGAGAAAAGAAGAGAGGAGGGGGGAGAGAAGGGAAAAGCGGGGAGAGAUCUUUGGCAGGUGCAGAGUGAAAACCUCUUUCAGCUACACUGAAUUCUGGAGACUGGUUGGACUAGUAGCUCUGCAGCUCCAGCUUUCAGUGGGUGUGUUAAAUAUUAUGAGCGAGCCAUGAUUCCUGCCUUCCUCACGUCAUAGUUAGGAGAUUGGCUAAAUAAACGCUACAGUGAUAGUAACAGGAAAACCUCAACCAAAAGAGGGGUUUUUUUCCCUCCUCUCCUCCCUCCUUCCCACCCCCCCUUUUCAUUCUACUGCAGCUCCAACUGGGGCAAGGAGAGGGCGUCUGUUCCACAAAGGUUUGGGAAAAAAAAUAAAAUGAAACGAAAUAAAAUGUAAAGCGGUAGAGGAGAGAGGAUCCUGCGCUGCCAGCGCUGCGAGGCGGCAGCAGCAGCGCCGUGCGCCGGGCCGGGCCGGGAUGGGCGGCCCUGCUCCGCCGCCGCCGCGCUCAUCGCCCUCGCCCCCGGCCCCGCGGGGUCAGCCCGGGCUCCGCUGGCCGGGGAUCAGCCUCCGGGUCUGAUCCGGGAUCCCUCACCGGGAUCCAGCUGCCCUCCCUCCCCUUCCCCCCUCUCCGCUGCUGGCUCUGUGCCUGCUGGCCCAGCGGGCUAGUGGCAGCCCCGGGAGCACUGAGGCAGCCGUUUGACAGCCAGGGCACCCUGCAGGAACGAGCUGCCCCUGGCGCUUCAGGUGGUCAGGCAGGGAAUGCCCAGAACCGGCAGAACGAGGCAGGAACUCGGGGAAGGAGGCUGAUGUCACCUGGCUGUUUGUUUCUGCAAGCAGAGAGCGCAUCUUCAACUGGAUCCUGGAAGCACAGAGCUUUAUGAGGGUCUACUGCUAAUAGGAUAAUUUUUUAAGCAGAAAGGAGAGAAAGAAUGUGGGAGAAAACUCCUGCCAGGAACUUUGCUUGCGCAGACAGCCUCAAUUUUUGGCAAAAGAAGGUUUUCCUAUUUUAAGGUGAGCUGCUGAACCCUGAGAGCCAGGUCUGUCAGCAUGAGCAGCACACGUGUUUGCUUCAUGGCUGAGUGUCCAGCUAGGCACAAGUGGGACGGUUGUGGGGCUGGGACUCCAGCCUGAGAGCAGUUCAGGAUACAAGGAGCAGGCUGAGGGCUCUGUCCUUUGACACAGGAAAGGCUUUGGUGCUCUGCCUGCAGAGCAGGUGGACAAACCAAUUUUUCUGAUGCUGAACGUUUUCGCCCAGUCCUGUUCAUCAGUAUCUCAGUAUUGUGCUAAUUUUUCUCUCCCUUUCGUUUUCUUAUUAAA